Molecule: long non-coding RNA, 242 nt
Filed under: Homo sapiens (human)
Lineage: Eukaryota; Metazoa; Chordata; Mammalia; Primates; Hominidae
Description: HSALNT0031300
Source: RNAcentral
UCGGAAGCCUGGCUCGGAGGCCCCAGGAUGACAACCUAAUUACAUUCCUUUUAAUAGCUCCUUCCCAAGUGCUCAGUCAGGGACAUCUGCUCUGCCGCGGUUGCACCUUCAGGGAGGAAUAUUUUUAACACCGUCAUGCCACAAAAGGAAACUUCUGAAGGCUGGAUGAAAAUGGCCUCUGCGUUCCCAGAGCCUCAGGGCCCAUCAGUUUUCACAGAGGUAAAUUCAAUGUGCCAGGCCAU